RNAcentral lists this ribosomal RNA (253 nucleotides) under uncultured bacterium. RNAcentral describes it as "partial 16S ribosomal RNA". It matches the Rfam family "Bacterial small subunit ribosomal RNA", at positions 524 to 776 of the family's 1533-position model. The record is from RNAcentral.
CACGUAGGGCGCGAGCGUUGUCCGGAUUUAUUGGGCGUAAAGAGCUCGUAGGCGGCUCAUUGCGUCAACCGUGAAAACCAGCAGCUCAACUGUUGGCUUGCGGUUGAUACGGGUGGGCUGGAGUUCGGUAGGGGAGACUGGAAUUCCUGGUGUAGCGGUGGAAUGCGCAGAUAUCAGGAGGAACACCGGUGGCGAAGGCGGGUCUCUGGGCAGUAACUGACGCUGAGAAGCGAAAGCGUGGGGAGCGAACAGG